ACCAAAUAGAUACCCGGGUAGUCCACGCCCUAAACGAUGCGAACUGGAUGUUGGGUACAUUACGGUACUCAGUGUCGAAAGCUAAACGCGUUAAGUUCGCCGCCUGGGGAGUACGGUCGCAAGACUGAAACUCAAAGGAAUUGACGGGGGUCCCGCACAAGCGGUGGAGUAUGUGGUUUAAUUCGAUGCAACGCGAAGAACCUUACCUGGCCUUGACAUCUGUCGAAUCCUGCAGAGAUGCGGGUAGUGCCGCAAGGAACGACAAGACAGGUGCUGCAUGGCUGUCGUCAGCUCGUGUCGUGAGAUGUUGGG
This 312-nucleotide ribosomal RNA is filed under the name uncultured bacterium. Its description in RNAcentral is "bacterial SSU rRNA". It matches the Rfam family "Bacterial small subunit ribosomal RNA", at positions 772 to 1079 of the family's 1533-position model. The record is from RNAcentral.